UGCGGGAGUAGCUCAAUGGUAGAGCGUCAGCCUUCCAAGCUGAGGGUCGCGGGUUCGAGCCCCGUCUCCCGC
RNAcentral lists this transfer RNA (72 nucleotides) under Candidatus Magnetovum chiemense. RNAcentral's name for it is "Candidatus Magnetoovum chiemensis tRNA-Gly". It matches the Rfam family "tRNA". Rfam says of the family: Transfer RNA (tRNA) molecules are approximately 80 nucleotides in length. The record is from RNAcentral. Lineage: Bacteria; Pseudomonadati; Nitrospirota; Nitrospiria; Nitrospirales; Nitrospiraceae.